CACGUAGGGUGCGAGCGUUGUCCGGAAUUUUUGGGCGUAAAGAGCUCGUAGGCGGUGUGUCGCGUCGGCCGUGAAAACCUGCAGCUUAACUGUGGGCUUGCGGUCGAUACGGGCAUCACUGGAGUUCGGCAGGGGAGACUGGAAUUCCUGGUGUAGCGGUGAAAUGCGCAGAUAUCAGGAGGAACACCGGUGGCGAAGGCGGGUCUCUGGGCCGAUACUGACGCUGAGGAGCGAAAGCGUGGGGAGCGAACAGG
RNAcentral lists this ribosomal RNA (254 nucleotides) under uncultured bacterium. RNAcentral's name for it is "partial 16S ribosomal RNA". It matches the Rfam family "Bacterial small subunit ribosomal RNA", at positions 524 to 776 of the family's 1533-position model. The record is from RNAcentral.